Molecule: ribosomal RNA, 334 nt
Filed under: uncultured bacterium
Lineage: Bacteria
Description: bacterial SSU rRNA
Rfam family: Bacterial small subunit ribosomal RNA
Source: RNAcentral
AAUCAACGCUGGCGGCGUGCCUCAGACAUGCAAGUCGAACGAUUAAAGCUCUCUUCGGAGAGUGCAUAGAGUGGCGCACGGGUGAGUAACACGUAAGUAAUCUACCCUCGAGUGGGAAGUAACGUACCGGAACGGACGCUAAUACCGCAUAAUGCAGCGGCAUCGCAAGAUGACAGUUGUUAAAGAUUAUCGCUUGAAGAGGAGCUUGCGGCAGAUUAGCUAGUUGGUAAGGUAAUGGCUUACCAAGGCUACGAUCUGUAACCGGUCUAAGAGGACGGUCGGUCACACUGACACUGAAUAACGGGUCAGACUCCUACGGGAGGCAGCAGUCGGG